Long non-coding RNA from Pipistrellus kuhlii (Kuhl's pipistrelle), 2665 nucleotides. RefSeq lists it as uncharacterized. The transcript has 3 exons. NCBI's taxonomy places the organism in Eukaryota, Metazoa, Chordata, Mammalia, Chiroptera, Vespertilionidae. The record is from RefSeq and is a predicted model, not a curated record.
AUAAUUCUGAAACAACAUGAAAUGAUUUUUGAAUUGUUUCAGCAGUCCUAUUGCAAUGACUCCAGAAAAUAAUUAUAAAACCUAAGUAAAAGGUUUAGUAACUAAUUGGAUCCUGUGGUGAGUCCAUGGAGGACAAGUUGUUCAUUUGUUACAAUUGUAUGGUCUGAAAUGUGUUCUGCAGUAAUGCAAUAAGCUGGCUACUUCUUACAAUGGGCCCAAUGAAAAAUAAUCUGUCCCCAAGAUGUUAUCGGCAAACACUUAGAGAGUUGCUCAGAGAGAGAAAAAAAUAAAGCCAAGGUAGGAGAGAAGCAAGAGUGACUCAAACAGAUUUGAAAUAGAAAUACAGCACAGUUAAUAUUAGAAUAUGGGGAUGGAUGGGUUGCGAAUGGAGGUAGAAGAAGAAAGUGAGAGAGAAGGGAGAAAAGAAAAAAAGGUCUUUAAAGAAAUAAAAAUCCCCACUACCAAAGGAAAUAAUGAGAAAGAAAGGGAGGUGUUUAAGAAAGACAGAAAUAUAAGGGCCAGGAUAAUUAAAAGAGUUAGAAGCAACUAUGUACAAAUAGGAAAUGGACCUAAUAGACUAAGACGGCUAGUUUAAUUAUCUCCUUUAAGCAGACUGGACAUGAUUUUAUUUUUUUUUCAUAAGAGAGCAAUUUCACCAAAGGUCAAAGUUGCUUGAAAUUUAACAGUUCUUCAGAAUGAAGCAUGAAAGAAAACCCAACAAAUAAGUUGUAUUAGAUGCCAAAUUUAUGGCUAGUAUUAAACAGUGAUAGAGUUCAAGUGAAUGAGGUAAGGCAAAGGAGAUCCCCACUGAUGCAUUUGUGAACAAAAACAACUGAAGGGAAAACAUGUGUUUAGACUGAAAAAGGUGAUGACGUGUUUGCUUUUAUCGGGGAUUUUAUUUGUGGAAUGAUAAUGUACUGGCACAGAAGAAAUAUAGUCUUUUGCCGAUCAAAAGUUGGAGAGUUGAACUCUUAUAUUGAGUUAAAAGGACAUAGAUCUAGAAGAAAGAUUCCCUCCUUGAGCAUUUUUUUAAGUCAUAUUAAAAAGCUAUAUUUAUUUGUGAUAAGUGUAUAUUUGCAUUAUGGAGAAACAGAAUUUCAAUGGCAAACAUUAUAGUUUGAAGUCAAGAUUAAAACUUACUUCUUUGAAUUCAUAGGAACUAAGGACUGGAGUUGAAAUUCUUUUUGGAUACGUUAUAUAUAUACAUAUAUAAUGGGGGACAGAGAAAUCUGUGAAGGCCUCCUACUGCCCAAUACGAACAUUUAAUUUAUCUCAGUCUUAUCCUAUCAUCCUUCAAGCUAUCUUUUUAAAAAAAAAAUACAUGACAAUGUAGUGUGGCAUUUAGUAGAUUUUUUUUUGCAACAAAUUGAUUGUAAUAUGGCAUUAAUAUUUAUUUUCACCAAUCUUUGCAAGUUAAAAAUUACCUUAUACCAGGAAAAAAAAUUUCAAAACUUUUCAACUGUUUCUUCUUUCAUAGUUAUAACUGUUUUCAAUGAGAUGAAAAUUGUUCUUUUUGAGAUUUUGGAACUAAAAGUGAUCACAACUUAUAACUUGAAAUUCCAAAUUACAUUUUAUUUCUAGGUUUAAAGUAUUUUACUUGAAUUUAUCUGGUAUAAAGUUAAUAUAAGUUACUAAUAUAUAAAACAUUAAGAAAAUGGCUUAGUUAGAGCAGGAAAGGAUUCUUCCAAAUAUGUUUCAAGAUUUAAUACAAAUAUCCUUAUGAUCAUGGAAGAUUUAAUGUGAUUUCUAUAACUUGCAUAAAAUCAAAGGUAGAGAGGCAAAAAGUGAACCUUCUUGUGUGUUGAUUAUAUAUAUUCAAGUUGCAUAUUUCACCCACAUAGGCAGAUAAAUUGAAUAUAUUUAGAAUUCUAAGUAUAUAAAUGUAAUUUCUAAAAAGUGUAUUUUCUACAACAUUGCUGAGGAGCUUGCAUGCAUUGAAGCAAUUUUGCUUUUGAGAUACUAAUUUUAUGUAUAGUUAAAGUGUCUAGCUGAGUUUGGGGACAAAUGCCUGUUGGAGAAAUAGGCUAGCAAAAGGUGAAGGUGAAGAUUGGAGGUUUUAGCGCUGGCUGAGAUGGGAUGCUGGGGCUGUGUAACCGUGCCUAGAGGGCGGGGUUCCUGUGCAUUCCUACUUCAGCAGAUAACCUGCCCCCACGCCACUCCAGCUUCUGCCAGACAGAUGGAACUCUCCAACAGGAUAAUCUGUGCAGCCAUUCCAACAAGCAGGACUGCCUGAAGUUGUCUGAGGAUGCUGAAGAAAAGAUUGCGGCCUGGGAGCGCUCCUUCCCUCCAGAUCGAAGUUUUUCACUGGUCAGUACAAUGAAGGUUGAUGGCAUGAUCAUCCAACUUGCCUCAAAGAAUUCAUCGGUGUGCUGUUAUCAAGCAGAAGUUUCCAAAUAUGAGUUCUCUAACUCAAGGAAAGUUGCUGCAUCCAGGCAGAAAGGCAUCUGGGAACUCCCUAAGUGUGCAUGAUUUGUCUUCUGAGAAAGUUGCUUCAGCAUUUUUGCUUUUUUUUUGAGUACUUCUCUCUAUAGCAUCCUCCAGACUCUAAACUACUAGACAGGUUCCUAAGUUCCUUCAGAUCUGUCCCAUGUCAGGGUUCUCGGUCCACUUCCCACCUUCUGGCUCCAUGGAUGAAAAAUAAAUAAUAAUAAAAUAACAAAAAUCA